This 447-nucleotide ribosomal RNA is filed under the name uncultured bacterium. Its description in RNAcentral is "bacterial SSU rRNA". It matches the Rfam family "Bacterial small subunit ribosomal RNA", at positions 355 to 825 of the family's 1533-position model. The record is from RNAcentral.
UCGGGAAUUUUGGGCAAUGGGCGAAAGCCUGACCCAGCAACGCCGCGUGAAGGAUGAAGUAUUUCGGUAUGUAAACUUCGAAAGAAUAGGAAGAAUAAAUGACGGUACUAUUUAUAAGGUCCGGCUAACUACGUGCCAGCAGCCGCGGUAAUACGUAGGGACCAAGCGUUGUUCGGAUUUACUGGGCGUAAAGGGCGCGUAGGCGGCAAUUCAAGUCAUCUGUGAAAUCUCCGGGCUUAACUUGGAACGGUCAGAUGAUACUGCUUUGCUAGAGUGCAGAAGGGGCAAUCGGAAUUCUUGGUGUAGCGGUGAAAUGCGUAGAUAUCAAGAGGAACACCUGAGGUGAAGACGGAUUGCUGGGCUGACACUGACGCUGAGGCGCGAAAGCCAGGGGAGCAAACGGGAUUAGAUACCCUGGUAGUCCCUGAGCGGGCUGGCAAGGCGCAU